GAUGAACGCUGGCGGCGUGCCUAAUACAUGCCAGUCGAGCGAACAGACGAGGAGCUUGCUCCUCUGACGUUAGCGGCAGACGGGUGAGUAACACGUGGAUAACCUACCUAUAAGACUGGGAUAACUUCGGGAAACCGGAGCUAAUACCGGAUAAUAUAUUGAACCGCAUGGUUCAAUAGUGAAAGACGGUUUUGCUGUCACUUAUAGAUGGAUCCGCGCCGCAUUAGCUAGUUGGUAAGGUAACGGCUUACCAAGGCAACGAUGCGUAGCCGACCUGAGAGGGUGAUCGGCCACACUGGAACUGAGACACGGUCCAGACUCCUACGGGAGGCAGCAGUAGGGAAUCUUCCGCAAUGGGCGAAAGCUUGACGGAGCAACGCCGCGUGAGUGAUGAAGGUCUUCGGAUCGUAAAACUCUGUUAUUAGGGAAGAACAAAUGUGUAAGUAACUAUGCACGUCUUGACGGUACCUAAUCAGAAAGCCACGGCUAACUACGUG
RNAcentral lists this ribosomal RNA (497 nucleotides) under uncultured bacterium. RNAcentral describes it as "partial 16S ribosomal RNA". It matches the Rfam family "Bacterial small subunit ribosomal RNA", at positions 28 to 507 of the family's 1533-position model. The record is from RNAcentral.